This 92-nucleotide ribosomal RNA is filed under the name uncultured archaeon. RNAcentral describes it as "partial 16S ribosomal RNA". The record is from RNAcentral.
UACCAGCGGUCCAAGUGGUUGCCGCGUUUAUUGGGUCUAAAGCAUUCGUAGCCGGUUUGGAAAAUCUCUCGUGAAAUCUUGUCUCUUAAGGG